UACUAUGAUGUCAUCACUUUAAUGACAUCAUAGUGAUGUCAUCACUUUGAUGUCAUUAAAGUGAUGACAUCACAGCCCUG
RNAcentral lists this microRNA precursor (80 nucleotides) under Xyrichtys novacula (pearly razorfish). Lineage: Eukaryota; Metazoa; Chordata; Actinopteri; Labriformes; Labridae. The record is from RNAcentral.